AGUGAACGCUGGCGGUAGGCCUAACACAUGCAAGUCGAACGGCAGCACAGUAAGAGCUUGCUCUUACGGGUGGCGAGUGGCGGACGGGUGAGGAAUACAUCGGAAUCUACUUUUUCGUGGGGGAUAACGUAGGGAAACUUACGCUAAUACCGCAUACGACCUACGGGUGAAAGUAGGGGAUCUUCGGACCUUGCGCGAUUGUAUGAGCCGAUGUCGGAUUAGCUAGUUGGCGGGGUAAAGGCCCACCAAGGCGACGAUCCGUAGCUGGUCUGAGAGGAUGAUCAGCCACACUGGAACUGAGACACGGUCCAGACUCCUACGGGAGGCAGCAGUGGGGAAUAUUGGACAAUGGGCGCAAGCCUGAUCCAGCCAUACCGCGUGGGUGAAGAAGGCCUUCGGGUUGUAAAGCCCUUUUGUUGGGAAAGAAAAGCAGCAGGUUAAUACCCCGCUGUUCUGACGGUACCCAAAGAAUAAGCACCGGCUAACUUCGUG
RNAcentral lists this ribosomal RNA (492 nucleotides) under uncultured bacterium. Its description in RNAcentral is "partial 16S ribosomal RNA". It matches the Rfam family "Bacterial small subunit ribosomal RNA", at positions 29 to 507 of the family's 1533-position model. The record is from RNAcentral.